CGGCAUGCCUAAGACAUGCAAGUCGAACGAAGUAGCCUAAUGAAGAUUGAGUGCUUGCACGAUUUCUGAUUUAGAUUCUACUUAGUGGCAGACGGGUGAGUAACACGUGGGUAACCUACCUUAGAGACUGGGAUAACAGUUAGAAAUGAUUGCUAAUACCGGAUGAUUCAUAGUUAGAUAACUAAUUAUGCUAAAAGGAGCAUUUGCUUCACUUUAAGAUGGGCUUGCGUUGUAUUAGUUAGUUGGUGGGGUAAUGGCCUACCAAGACAACGAUGCAUAUCCGAGCUGAGAGGCUGAUCGGACACACUGGGACUGAGACACGGCCCAGACUCCUACGGGAGACAGCAGUUAGGAAUAUUCGUCAAUGGGGGAAACCCUGAACGAGCAAUGCCGCGUGAAGUGAUUAAGGUCUUAUAGAUUGUAAAACUCUGUUGUAAAGAAAGAAACCUUAAGAUAGGAAAUGAUCUUAAGCUGACGGUACUUUACCAGAAAGCCCCGGCUAACUACGUGCCAGCCGCUGC
Molecule: ribosomal RNA, 521 nt
Filed under: uncultured bacterium
Lineage: Bacteria
Description: bacterial SSU rRNA
Rfam family: Bacterial small subunit ribosomal RNA
Source: RNAcentral